ACUCCUACGGGAGGCAGCAGUGGGGAAUAUUGGACAAUGGGCGCAAGCCUGAUCCAGCCAUGCCGCGUGAGUGAUGACGGCCUUAGGGUUGUAAAGCUCUUUCAGUGGUGAAGAUAAUGACGGUAACCACAGAAGAAGCCCCGGCUAACUCCGUGCCAGCAGCCGCGGUAAUACGGAGGGCGGUCAGCGUUGUUCGGAAUUACUGGGCGUAAAGCGCGCGUAGGCGGAUCUUUAAGUCAGGGUGGAAAUACC
RNAcentral lists this ribosomal RNA (252 nucleotides) under uncultured bacterium. Its description in RNAcentral is "partial 16S ribosomal RNA". It matches the Rfam family "Bacterial small subunit ribosomal RNA", at positions 335 to 603 of the family's 1533-position model. The record is from RNAcentral.